Molecule: unclassified non-coding RNA, 416 nt
Filed under: uncultured Umbelopsis
Lineage: Eukaryota; Fungi; Mucoromycota; Umbelopsidomycetes; Umbelopsidales; Umbelopsidaceae
Description: sequence contains ITS2
Rfam family: 5.8S ribosomal RNA (bases 1-154)
Source: RNAcentral
AACUUUUGGCAAUGGAUCUCUUGGUUCUCGCAUCGAUGAAGAACGCAGCGAAAUGCGAUACGUAAUGUGAAUUACAGAAUUCAGUGAAUCAUCGAAUCUUUGAACGCACAUUGCACUCCUUGGUAUUCCGAGGAGUAUGCCUGUUUCAGUAUCAUGAGCACUCUCACACCUAACCUUUGGGUUUAUGGCGUGGAAUUGGAAUGCGCCGACUGUCAUGGUUGGCCCUUCUAAAAUGUAGUUCUUGGCUGUCACCUAAUACAGCAGUUUGGCCUAAUAGUUUUGGCACUCAUUGUCAAAUCUUUGGCUAACAUUUGCUCCAGGAGUCAGUCUUGAUAAUACAGAAAACUCAUUCAAAUUUUGAUCUGAAAUCAGGUAGGGCUACCCGCUGAACUUAAGCAUAUCAAUAAGCGGAGGCU